RNAcentral lists this ribosomal RNA (1506 nucleotides) under uncultured bacterium. RNAcentral describes it as "bacterial SSU rRNA". It matches the Rfam family "Bacterial small subunit ribosomal RNA". The record is from RNAcentral.
AGAGUUUGAUCAUGGCUCAGAUUGAACGCUGGCGGCAGGCCUAACACAUGCAAGUCGAACGGUAGCACAGAGGAGCUUGCUCCUUGGGUGACGAGUGGCGGACGGGUGAGUAAUGUCUGGGAAACUGCCCGAUGGAGGGGGAUAACUACUGGAAACGGUAGCUAAUACCGCAUAACGUCUUCGGACCAAAGUGGGGGACCUUCGGGCCUCACACCAUCGGAUGUGCCCAGAUGGGAUUAGCUAGUAGGUGGGGUAACGGCUCACCUAGGCGACGAUCCCUAGCUGGUCUGAGAGGAUGACCAGCCACACUGGAACUGAGACACGGUCCAGACUCCUACGGGAGGCAGCAGUGGGGAAUAUUGCACAAUGGGCGCAAGCCUGAUGCAGCCAUGCCGCGUGUAUGAAGAAGGCCUUCGGGUUGUAAAGUACUUUCAGCGGGGAGGAAGGCGAUGUGGUUAAUAACCGCGUCGAUUGACGUUACCCGCAGAAGAAGCACCGGCUAACUCCGUGCCAGCAGCCGCGGUAAUACGGAGGGUGCAAGCGUUAAUCGGAAUUACUGGGCGUAAAGCGCACGCAGGCGGUCUGUCAAGUCGGAUGUGAAAUCCCCGGGCUUAACCUGGGAACUGCAUUCGAAACUGGCAGGCUUGAGUCUCGUAGAGGGGGGUAGAAUUCCAGGUGUAGCGGUGAAAUGCGUAGAGAUCUGGAGGAAUACCGGUGGCGAAGGCGGCCCCCUGGACGAAGACUGACGCUCAGGUGCGAAAGCGUGGGGAGCAAACAGGAUUAGAUACCCUGGUAGUCCACGCUGUAAACGAUGUCGACUUGGAGGUUGUUCCCUUGAGGAGUGGCUUCCGGAGCUAACGCGUUAAGUCGACCGCCUGGGGAGUACGGCCGCAAGGUUAAAACUCAAAUGAAUUGACGGGGGCCCGCACAAGCGGUGGAGCAUGUGGUUUAAUUCGAUGCAACGCGAAGAACCUUACCUGGCCUUGACAUCCACAGAACUUAGCAGAGAUGCUUUGGUGCCUUCGGGAACUGUGAGACAGGUGCUGCAUGGCUGUCGUCAGCUCGUGUUGUGAAAUGUUGGGUUAAGUCCCGCAACGAGCGCAACCCUUAUCCUUUGUUGCCAGCGAUUCGGUCGGGAACUCAAAGGAGACUGCCGGUGAUAAACCGGAGGAAGGUGGGGAUGACGUCAAGUCAUCAUGGCCCUUACGGCCAGGGCUACACACGUGCUACAAUGGCGCAUACAAAGAGAAGCGACCUCGCGAGAGCAAGCGGACCUCAUAAAGUGCGUCGUAGUCCGGAUCGGAGUCUGCAACUCGACUCCGUGAAGUCGGAAUCGCUAGUAAUCGUAGAUCAGAAUGCUACGGUGAAUACGUUCCCGGGCCUUGUACACACCGCCCGUCACACCAUGGGAGUGGGUUGCAAAAGAAGUAGGUAGCUUAACCUUCGGGAGGGCGCUUACCACUUUGUGAUUCAUGACUGGGGUGAAGUCGUAACAAGGUAGCCGUA